This 800-nucleotide ribosomal RNA is filed under the name uncultured bacterium. RNAcentral's name for it is "bacterial SSU rRNA". It matches the Rfam family "Bacterial small subunit ribosomal RNA", at positions 8 to 817 of the family's 1533-position model. The record is from RNAcentral.
AGAGUUUGAUCCUGGCUCAGGACGAACGCUGGCGGCGUGCUUAACACAUGCAAGUCGAACGAGAUCCAUCGAGUGGCAACACUCGGGAAGAUCGAGUGGCGAACGGGUGCGUAACACGUGAGGAACCCACCCCGAACUCUGGGAUAACAGGCGGAAACGCUUGCUAAUACCGGAUGCCUUCGCCGAGUCGCAUGGCUUGGCGAAGAAAGGUCCGCCGGUUCGGGACGGUCUCGCGGCCUAUCAGCUUGUUGGUGGGGUAACGGCCUACCAAGGCAUCGACGGGUAGCUGGUCUGAGAGGAUGAUCAGCCACACUGGGACUGAGACACGGCCCAGACUCCUACGGGAGGCAGCAGUGGGGAAUCUUGCCCAAUGGGCGCAAGCCUGAGGCAGCAACGCCGCGUGCGGGAAGAAGGCCCUCGGGUUGUAAACCGCUUUCAGCAGGAACGAAAAUGACGGUACCUGCAGAAGAAGGUGCGGCCAACUACGUGCCAGCAGCCGCGGUGACACGUAGGCACCAAGCGUUGUCCGGAUUUAUUGGGCGUAAAGAGCUCGUAGGCGGUUCGGUAAGUCGGGUGUGAAAACCUUGGGCUCAACCCAAGGACUGCACUCGAUACUGCUGUGACUUGAGUCCGGUAGGGGAGUGGGGAAUUCCUGGUGUAGCGGUGGAAUGCGCAGAUAUCAGGAGGAACACCGGUGGCGAAGGCGCCACUCUGGGCCGGUACUGACGCUGAGGAGCGAAAGCGUGGGGAGCGAACAGGAUUAGAUACCCUGGUAGUCCACGCCGUAAACGUUGGGCACU